This 253-nucleotide ribosomal RNA is filed under the name uncultured bacterium. RNAcentral describes it as "partial 16S ribosomal RNA". It matches the Rfam family "Bacterial small subunit ribosomal RNA", at positions 524 to 776 of the family's 1533-position model. The record is from RNAcentral.
UACGUAGGUGGCAAGCGUUAUCCGGAAUUACUGGGCGUAAAGCGCACGCAGGCGGCUCGUCAAGUUCGACGUGAAAGCUCCCGGCUUAACUGGGAGAGGUCGUUGAAAACUGGCGAGCUUGAGGCAAUGAGAGGGGUGUAGAAUUCCCGGUGUAGUGGUGGAAUGCGUAGAUAUCGGGAGGAAUACCAGUGGCGAAAGCGGCACCCUAGCGUUGUUCUGACGCUCAUGUGCGAAAGCGUGGGGAACGAACGGG